CCUCCUGGUCUGGAAAAUUCAGGUCAACUAGGAUGCAGUCCCCUUCAAGAAAACUACCUCCUAGGAGCCCAGCCCAGAAGUUGGCAAAUUCUGAGAUAGGAGAGAGUUUCAUCUCCUGUCAGUGCCCUAUUUUGCUGCUCCAAGUGCUGGGUUUGGAGCUACAGGAAGGGAUAACCCAAAGCUACUGGCCUGGGUAACUAAAGGAUGAAACUAAAUGGGCCAGGCAUGAGGAUGUUGGAAUAUUUAUCUAAUUCCCCCCUGAGAGCUCAGUCCAGGCCUAGGAGCUGCCCUGAGCAUGCACAUAUCUGUACCUGUGUUUAGGCCUAGGGUAAGGACGGGGUGGAAAAAUGGAGAAUAGAAUAAACAUAUAAAGAGCAGAGGGCCCAAAGCAUGGCCCAAGGGAACCUUUCUGCAGGGACAGGUUUCUCAGGGUCUACAUUUUCUCCUGGGCCAUAAAAAGCUCUGAGCUUCUACCCCUGAGGAUAGAAACCAAGUGUGGAGGAAGGCCAGUGAGAGACCAGGAGGAUCCUGC
Molecule: long non-coding RNA, 532 nt
Filed under: Homo sapiens (human)
Lineage: Eukaryota; Metazoa; Chordata; Mammalia; Primates; Hominidae
Description: non-protein coding lnc-CELF3-2:1
Source: RNAcentral